GAGACAGUGUCAGGUGGGCAGUUUGACUGGGGCGGUCGCCUCCUAAAGAGUAACGGAGGCGCCCAAAGGUUCCCUCAGAAUGGAUGGAAAUCAUUCGCAGAGUGUAAAGGCACAAGGGAGCUUGACUGCGAGACUGACAAGUCGAGCAGGGACGAAAGUCGGGCUUAGUGAUCCGGUGGUUCCGCAUGGAAGGGCCAUCGCUCAACGGAUAAAAGCUACCCCGGGGAUAACAGGCUUAUCUCCCCCAAGAGUCCACAUCGACGGGGAGGUUUGGCACCUCGAUGUCGGCUCGUCGCAUCCUGGGGCUGUAGUCGGUCCCAAGGGUUGG
This 328-nucleotide ribosomal RNA is filed under the name Salmonella enterica subsp. enterica serovar Muenchen. RNAcentral describes it as "partial 23S ribosomal RNA". It matches the Rfam family "Bacterial large subunit ribosomal RNA", at positions 2248 to 2575 of the family's 2925-position model. Lineage: Bacteria; Pseudomonadati; Pseudomonadota; Gammaproteobacteria; Enterobacterales; Enterobacteriaceae. The record is from RNAcentral.